RNAcentral lists this long non-coding RNA (1160 nucleotides) under Olea europaea subsp. europaea. The record is from RNAcentral. Lineage: Eukaryota; Viridiplantae; Streptophyta; Magnoliopsida; Lamiales; Oleaceae.
CAUAUAAAUCAUUCCAAAUAAUCCAAACGUAUUAUAAUGUCAAAAUCAUUAAACAAAGAGUUAAAUAUCACAUCACAAGGUUCAUCAUCUCCUAGUACAGAAAUAUUUAACCAACAUGGAGAAAAUAAAAGAAUACAUAUUGGCUUGAAGAUACAAUAUCACGAGUUAUGAAUUAGCGUGAAAUCUCGAUGAUCUUCAUUAAAUCCUAUUUAGUCUCGCUCAAAAUCUUCUCCAAGAUGUGUUUUCUUGCUUCCCAAUGCGUUCCUCCUCGAAAUAUGAUGACUCUAGGUUUUUAUAUCUCAUCCCAAUCGAGUUCCAAAAGAGUUGAUCGAAAAUAGGAAACUGCAGAAACGGUCCCCAGAAAAUAACUAUGCGACUGCACAGCACUAAGCUAUGCUACCGCAUAGUAGUAUCAAUUCUUGCCAAUUUUUUCCCUGCCAUGGGUCAUGCAACCGCAUGGGAAAAAUUGGCAAGAAUUGAUACUUGUCAUUCCGUUUUGGUCCUCAAUCUUUAUCUUCUCCAUUUUUGUCUUAAUUUCUUGUUUCUUGUCAUUUCGUUGCUCUAUUAUGCCCUCCAAUUGGUACUUAGCUCAAUCUAUUGCUCGACUCCCCCUUCAGUUCAUCUUUUAGGUAUUUGUGCUUUGGUCCCUAAACGUUCACUUUACUUCAUUUUAGCCCUUUUUUGAAUCAUUUCUCAUGGAUUCCAACAUGUCCAUCAAUAUAGCCUACGAUAUACAAAUCAAACGAAAUUAAGCCAUAAUUCAAACACUUUGCUCGUAAUUUAGUCAUGUUUGUGAAUUACAUAAGUGCAAAAACAGUAGAUCCGUGCCAUUAAUGAUCAAAUGCUCAAACAUUAUAUCAAAAUAUUGGUGAAAUAAGUUUUGGCAACAUUUGCUAGGGCAUUUUACCGUUUCUGGAUUCCCCGCAUUGGCUUGAACCAUAUUUGCAAAUUUUCUUGCAUCAUAUUGAUAUGCUUUCGAAACUCUAAACAAAAUAUGCUAAAUAAAUAAUCUAAAAAGCAUUUAUGGAUAUAUUUUAAAAUAUUCUAAUUUUAAGAGGACAAUAUAACCUUGAUAAGUGUACCCAAUGUUUAUCCAUGAUAAUAUAUACCAACACUAUUAAUUUAUAAUCUGUUAAAACACAAUAAAAAUGAAGUGAAAA